RNAcentral lists this ribosomal RNA (397 nucleotides) under uncultured bacterium. RNAcentral's name for it is "partial 16S ribosomal RNA". It matches the Rfam family "Bacterial small subunit ribosomal RNA", at positions 523 to 918 of the family's 1533-position model. The record is from RNAcentral.
AUACGUAGGGGGCGAGCGUUGUCCGGAAUGAUUGGGCGUAAAGGGCGCGUAGGCGGCGCGGUAAGUCUGGAGUGAGAGUCCUGCUUUCAAGGUGGGAAUUGCUUUGGAUACUGCCGCGCUUGAGUGCAGGAGAGGUUAUCGGAAUUCCCGGUGUAGCGGUGAAAUGCGUAGAGAUCGGGAGGAACACCAGUGGCGAAGGCGGGUAACUGGACUGCAACUGACGCUGAGGCGCGAAAGUGUGGGGAGCAAACAGGAUUAGAUACCCUGGUAGUCCACACUGUAAACGAUGAAUGCUAGGUGUAAGAGGUAUCGACCCCUUUUGUGCCGGAGUCAACACAAUAAGCAUUCCGCCUGGGGAGUACGGCCGCAAGGUUGAAACUCAAAUGAAUUGACGGGG